RNAcentral lists this ribosomal RNA (253 nucleotides) under uncultured bacterium. Its description in RNAcentral is "partial 16S ribosomal RNA". It matches the Rfam family "Bacterial small subunit ribosomal RNA", at positions 524 to 776 of the family's 1533-position model. The record is from RNAcentral.
UACGUAGGGGGCAAGCGUUGUCCGGAUUUAUUGGGCGUAAAGAGCGUGUAGGCGGCCAAGCAGGUCCGCUGUGAAAACUCGAGGCUCAACCUCGAGACGUCGGUGGAAACCGUUUGGCUAGAGUCCGGAAGAGGAGAGUGGAAUUCCCGGUGUAGCGGUGAAAUGCGCAGAUAUCGGGAAGAACACCCGUGGCGAAGGCGGCUCUCUGGGACGGUACUGACGCUGAGACGCGAAAGCGUUGGGAGCGAACAGG